GACGAACGCUGGCGGUGUGCUUAACACAUGCAAGUCGAACGGAAACGCCCUGCUUUUGUGCGGUUCUGGAGUGGCAAACGGGUGAGGAACAGGUGUGUAACCUGAUCUUGACUUUCGGAGAACUUCAUGAAACUGUGCCUAAGCCCGGAUAGCAGCUGCUGCUGGAUUGUGGGGGUGGGAAAGUUUCGGCGGGUGGGGAUGGACUCGCGGCUUAACAGCUUGUUGGUGGGGUAGUGGCUUACCAAGGCUUUGACCGGUAUCCGGCCUGGGAGGGUGAACGGGCACAUUGGGACUGAGAGAAGGACCAGUGUCCUACGGUAGGCAGAAGUGGCGAAUAUGGCACAGUGGGCGGAAGUCUGAUGCAGCGACGCUGCGUGUGGGAAGACGGCCUUCGGGUUGUAAACCGCUUUAGCCUGUGACGAAGCGUGAGUGACGGUAACGGGUGAAGAAGCACCGGCUAACUACGUG
Molecule: ribosomal RNA, 468 nt
Filed under: uncultured bacterium
Lineage: Bacteria
Description: partial 16S ribosomal RNA
Rfam family: Bacterial small subunit ribosomal RNA
Source: RNAcentral